AGACCCGAAACCCGGUGAUCUAGCCAUGGGCAGGUUGAAGGUUGGGUAACACUAACUGGAGGACCGAACCGACUAAUGUUGAAAAAUUAGCGGAUGACCUGUGGCUGGGGGUGAAAGGCCAAUCAAACCGGGAGAUAGCUGGUUCUCCCCGAAAGCUAUUUAGGUAGCGCCUCGUGAAUUCAUCUCCGGGGGUAGAGCACUGUUUCGGCUAGGGGGCCAUCCCGGCUUACCAACCCGAUGCAAACUGCGAAUACCGGAGAAUGUUAUCACGGGAGACACACGGCGGGUGCUAACGUCCGUCGUGAAGAGGGAAACAACCCAGACCGCCAGCUAAGGUCCCAAAGUCAUGGUUAAGUGGGAAACGAUGUGGGAAGGCCCAGACAGCCAGGAUGUUGGCUUAGAAGCAGCCAUCAUUUAAAGAAAGCGUAAUAGCUCACUGGUCGAGUCGGCCUGCGCGGAAGAUGUAACGGGGCUAAACCAUGCACCGAAGCUGCGGCAGCG
RNAcentral lists this ribosomal RNA (501 nucleotides) under Salmonella enterica subsp. enterica serovar Infantis. Its description in RNAcentral is "partial 23S ribosomal RNA". It matches the Rfam family "Bacterial large subunit ribosomal RNA", at positions 711 to 1210 of the family's 2925-position model. RNAcentral also lists the same sequence under 10 other names. Lineage: Bacteria; Pseudomonadati; Pseudomonadota; Gammaproteobacteria; Enterobacterales; Enterobacteriaceae. The record is from RNAcentral.